Long non-coding RNA from Monodelphis domestica (gray short-tailed opossum), 328 nucleotides. RefSeq lists it as uncharacterized. The record is from RefSeq and is a predicted model, not a curated record. Lineage: Eukaryota; Metazoa; Chordata; Mammalia; Didelphimorphia; Didelphidae.
GAAACAGCUCGGCUAAGUUACAAGAGGCUGCGAGCCCGAGAGGUGGAGAGCAACUCAGAGAUGAAGAGGAGUUGCCCUCUGUGUCAGUAAAGGAGGUAGCAAACUGGUUCAUCUUCUUUUUUUUUUCCACAUGAAGAAACAGAUCUUUGUGCAAGCAAGCAAUUUGUUCAAUGAGAUGGGAAUGUCAAUGAUGGCUUUAAGAAAAAAAUCUAAACGUCUCACCAUCAGCCUUCUGCUCAGCUCAGUAGACCAUGUUUCCUCUCACUUUCAAUGACUAAAAAUAAGUGACAACAAAAAUGACAAAAAUAUAUUCUUCAUAAAAAUUGAA